UCUCUCACAGAAGUGACAAAUGGGAAACCCAGGACCACCAAGGAACACAGCCUAGAAAAGAGCCCAGGGUCAGCUGAAGCCUCGGCUCCUCCUUGAAGCCCUACUCCUCUCCCUCUCUUCUGGAAGAUUCCGAAGCAAGCAAAUCCAGAUCCUCUCUCUAUGAUCCUUUCUGGAGAUUACCAGUCUCUCCUGAGCACUCAGCUACAAGUCCUGGCCAGGUCCUCAGCAGGGUCUCACAGGGAGCAGCUGAGCACGCCAUCAGGAACCUGAACCUGGAAUCUGUUACAUCUGACUGGAAUCACUGUUUCCUCAUCCAGAAAAGGAAGUAACCAUAGUACCUAUUUCACUGAGCUAUUCACGGGAACAAGCUGUUAAAGCAGAUAGUACCUGACAAAUAAUAAUGUUGGCUAUUACUAGCUAAUAUUCUUUUAAUGGAAGAGGA
Long non-coding RNA from Dipodomys spectabilis (banner-tailed kangaroo rat), 442 nucleotides. RefSeq lists it as uncharacterized. The record is from RefSeq and is a predicted model, not a curated record. NCBI's taxonomy places the organism in Eukaryota, Metazoa, Chordata, Mammalia, Rodentia, Heteromyidae. The transcript is spliced from 3 exons.